Molecule: ribosomal RNA, 230 nt
Filed under: uncultured eukaryote
Lineage: Eukaryota
Description: partial 18S ribosomal RNA
Rfam family: Eukaryotic small subunit ribosomal RNA
Source: RNAcentral
GCGGUUAAAAAGCUCGUAGUUGGAUUUCUGUUGAGGACGGCCGGUCCGCACUAUGUGCGUGUAUCUGGUUCGGCCUUGGCAUCCUCUUGAGGAACGUUCCUGCGCUUGAUUGCGUGGGGCGGUAUUCAAGACUUUUACUUUGAGGAAAUUAGAGUGUUCACGGCAGGCAAGCGCCUUGAAUACAUUAGCAUGGAAUAAUAAUAUAGGAUCUUGGUUCUAUUUGUUGGUUU